UAGGGAAUCUUCGGCCAUGGACGAAAGUCUGACCGAGCAACGCCGCGUGAGUGAAGAAGGUUUUCGGAUCGUAAAACUCUGUUGUUAGAGAAGAACAAGGACGUUAGUAACUGAACGUCCCCUGACGGUAUCUAACCAGAAAGCCACGGCUAACUACUUGCCAGCAGCCGCGGUAAUACGUAGGUGGCAAGCGUUGUCCGGAUUUAUUGUGCGUAAAGCGAGCGCAGGCGGUUUCUUAAGUCUGAUGUGAAAGCCCCCGGCUCAACCGGGGAGGGUCAUUGGAAAGUGGGAGACUUGAGUGCAGAAGAGGAGAGAGGAAUUCCAUGUGUAGCGGUGAAAUGCGUAGAUAUAUGGAGGAACAGCAGUGGCGAAGGCGGCUCUCUGGUCUGUAACUGACGAUGAGGCACGAAAGCGUGGGGAGCAAACAGG
This 429-nucleotide ribosomal RNA is filed under the name Gemmatimonadota bacterium. RNAcentral's name for it is "Gemmatimonadetes bacterium partial 16S ribosomal RNA". It matches the Rfam family "Bacterial small subunit ribosomal RNA", at positions 355 to 776 of the family's 1533-position model. The record is from RNAcentral. Lineage: Bacteria; Pseudomonadati; Gemmatimonadota.